This 234-nucleotide ribosomal RNA is filed under the name Triticum aestivum (bread wheat). RNAcentral's name for it is "partial small subunit ribosomal RNA". Lineage: Eukaryota; Viridiplantae; Streptophyta; Magnoliopsida; Poales; Poaceae. The record is from RNAcentral.
AUGGCACCCAAGAGCAACGCGACCCGGAUGGCUGCGGUUUUCGUGGUUCUUAUGAUCAUGUCUUCCACCUUAUCAUCAUCGUCCUGCUAUGCACGUACAAUUGAAGAUGGAGUGGAUUCUCCAGUGUGCUUCCAUGUGGAAAAGUGCCAAGACCGUUGCCAGACUGCAUGCAGCAUCAGCGGCAAGCCCUCGACUGGAGCCUACUGCAAGAUCGAUCAGUGUUGUUGCGCCUAG